UUGAAUAUUCUCGAUGGGGUUGUAGCUGGCUCUUUUGGAGCAUGUGCACGCCCUGUCUUGAUUUUAUUCAUCCACCUGUGCACUUUUUGUAGUCUUGGAGAGAGUGAUCAACUGUCGGAUGAUUAUUUCCGGAUGUGAGGAUUGCUGAGUGUGAAAGCAUUCAGCUUUUCUCAGAUCGAUUUUCUCACUUCAAGUGCUAUGUCUUCAUAUACCACAUAGUAUGUUGUAGAAUGUAAUCAAUGGGCUUUUGCCUAUAAUAAUCAUAUA
Molecule: unclassified non-coding RNA, 267 nt
Filed under: soil metagenome
Description: partial internal transcribed spacer 1
Source: RNAcentral